RNAcentral lists this non-coding RNA (30 nucleotides) under Cricetulus griseus (Chinese hamster). Lineage: Eukaryota; Metazoa; Chordata; Mammalia; Rodentia; Cricetidae. The record is from RNAcentral.
CGGAUAAUGGACAUGGUGAGCAACCAGCAC